Molecule: long non-coding RNA, 218 nt
Filed under: Elaeis guineensis (African oil palm)
Lineage: Eukaryota; Viridiplantae; Streptophyta; Magnoliopsida; Arecales; Arecaceae
Description: long non-coding RNA (EGUI_LNC019971)
Source: RNAcentral
AGGUAUCCAUCGGGAUCAACUUUAAAUUUUUUUUUCAUUGUAGAUUCUUUUUCUCUAAGUAAAAUCUCAGUCUUUUGAACCUUUGAUCACACAUUGAUCUCUGACUACAGUGUCAACACUUGAACUGCAGUCUUUCUCCCUUUUGCUUAAUGUAGAAGAAGACAUCCUUCACCUUGGGCGUGUGGGAGGAUGGGAUGCCUAAUACUUGGGCGUAGGAA